GAUAAACGCUGGCGGCGCACAUAAGACAUGCAAGUUGAACGGACUUAAUCGAAAUAUUUAUAUUUUGAAGCGGUUAGUGGCGGACUGGUGAGUAACGCGUAAGGAACCUGCCUAUUAGAGGGGAAUAACAGUGAGAAAUCAUUGCUAAUACCGCAUAUGCCAUAGAUAUUACAUGAUAAAAGUGGGCAAGGAGCAAUCCGGUAAUAGAUGGCCUUGCGUCUGAUUAGAUAGUUGGUGGGGUAACGGCCUACCAAGGCGACGAUCAGUAGCCGGACUGGGAGGUUGAACGGCCACAUUGGGACUGAGAUACGGCCCAGACUCCUACGGGAGGCAGCAGUCGGGAAUAUUGAGCAAUGGAGGAAACUCUGACGCAGUGACGCCGCGUAUAGGAAGAAGGUUUUCGGAUUGUAAACUAUUGUCGUUAGGGAAGAGAAAGGACAGUACCUAAGGAGGAAGCUCCGGCUAACUACGUG
This 473-nucleotide ribosomal RNA is filed under the name uncultured bacterium. RNAcentral describes it as "partial 16S ribosomal RNA". It matches the Rfam family "Bacterial small subunit ribosomal RNA", at positions 28 to 507 of the family's 1533-position model. The record is from RNAcentral.